AGAAUGUAACCCACAUGGAUAGCCAACUUGCCCAUUGUGAUGUACCAAUAAUUCUUUGGUGACCCCUAGAGGGCGCACGAGACAGGUUCAAACAAUCAAAUAAUAAUAAACAACUGCUACUACAAAUUAGAGACAGACGUCGGAACGGAUAACUAACGAUACAGAAAGAAAGAAGAAGAAUAUUAAUCAAAACAAGAAUAAUAUUGACCAAACAGAAAUCAAACACAUUUCUUUUGACCGAAAAGCUUCAAUCCUGAUAAACCACUUCCUGAACAAAGACCUCGUUGGACCAUCGUAACAGAUCGAAACAUAUUAAUCACUUGAAUCCUGACUGGUUUUUUGAUUACCCCUUCAACCACUCCUUGACCUACGCCUUGGAUACCUCAAAUUCCCUGCUGUGAUACCCUUCCCUGGACCAUCCUCAUCGCCAUUCUUCCUUGCAAUAUUCCCAGAAAUUGAACCCCCACCUUCAUCCACUUUCCACCCAGUGACUGUGGUAGGAUCUGGGCAAAUACACCCACACCCACGGACUGUGACAUUAAGGAAUUACAUCCACCACUAUUUUUUAUUUAAUUAUUUAUUUUGAGUGCUCUCUCUUUUAUUUUUGGGGUUUAUGUUUAUUUUGUUAUUUUAAGUUCAGAGAUCUCAAGGGAAUUAUUUAUUGAAAAGUUACCUAAGUGCCGGCACUUCUGAUAAACUGAUAUUAUAGUUAUAUGUUAAGAAUUGUAUUUUUAUUGUAUAA
Alosa sapidissima (American shad) is the source of this 742-nucleotide long non-coding RNA. RefSeq lists it as uncharacterized. The transcript is spliced from 3 exons. NCBI's taxonomy places the organism in Eukaryota, Metazoa, Chordata, Actinopteri, Clupeiformes, Clupeidae. The record is from RefSeq and is a predicted model, not a curated record.